CCUACGGGUGGCUGCAGUGGGGAAUAUUGCGCAAUGGACGAAAGUCUGACGCAGCGACGCCGCGUGAGGGAUGAAGGUCUUCGGAUCGUAAACCUCUGUCAGCAGGGAAGUACGAUGACUGUGCUAAUCAGCAGUGAAUUGACGGUACCUGCAAAGGAAGCACCGGCUAACUCCGUGCCAGCAGCUGCGGUAAUGCGGAGGGUGCGAGCGUUGAUCGGAAUUACUGGGCGUAAAGGGCUCGUAGGCGGUAUGUCAAGUCAAGGGUGAAAUCCCCGCGCUCAACGGGGGAACUGACUUUGAAACUGGCAGACUGGAGUGUGUGAGAGGAUAGUGGAAUUCCAGGUGUAGGAGUGAAAUCCGUAGAUAUCUGGAGGAACAUCAGUGGCGAAGGCGACUAUCUGGCCCAUAACUGACGCUGAGGAGCGAAAGCGUGGGUAGCAAACAGGAUUAGAUACCCCAGUAGUC
RNAcentral lists this ribosomal RNA (465 nucleotides) under uncultured bacterium. RNAcentral describes it as "partial 16S ribosomal RNA". It matches the Rfam family "Bacterial small subunit ribosomal RNA", at positions 338 to 795 of the family's 1533-position model. The record is from RNAcentral.